Molecule: ribosomal RNA, 912 nt
Filed under: uncultured Verrucomicrobiota bacterium
Lineage: Bacteria; Pseudomonadati; Verrucomicrobiota
Description: bacterial SSU rRNA
Rfam family: Bacterial small subunit ribosomal RNA
Source: RNAcentral
GCGUUCGGGCGUGGAAGAAUGCAGUCGACGAUGACUUAAGGGUAGCAAUAUUCUUGAGUCGGAGUGGCGCAAGGGUGCGUAACACGUGGGCAAUCUGCCGUGAAGUUAGGAAUAACUUGCUGAAAGGCGAGCUAAUACCAAAUGUGGAUUCCGGGAGGCAUCUCCUGGCAUCCAAAGCUGGGGACCCUUCGGGGCCUGGCGCUUCACGAUGAGCCCGCGGCCUAUCAGCUAGUUGGUGAGGUAACGGCUCACCAAGGCUAAGACGGGUAGCUGGUCUGAGAGAACGACCAGCCACACUGGAACUGAGACACGGUCCAGACACCUACGGGUGGCAGCAGUCGAGAAUCUUUCUCAAUGGGCGAAAGCCUGAAGGAGCGACGCCGCGUGGGGGAUGAAUGGCUUCGGCCCGUAAACCCCUGUCAUUCGUGAACAAGGUCUGCAGUUUAAGAGAUGGCAGGCUCGAUAGUAACGAAAGAGGAAGGGACGGCUAACUCUGUGCCAGCAGCCGCGGUAAUACAGAGGUCCCAAGCGUUGUUCGGAUUCACUGGGCGUAAAGGGUGCGUAGGUGGUGGGAAAAGUCUGAUGUGAAAGCUCCGGGCUUAACUCGGAAAUGGCAUCAGAAACUCUCUCGUAGGAGGGGGUUGGGAGGGGGGGACUGGAAUUCUCGGUGUAGCAGUGAAAUGCGUAGAUAUCGAGAGGAACACCAGUGGCGAAGGCGAGUCCCUGGACAACUCCUGACACUGAGGCACGAAAGCUAGGGGAGCAAACAGGAUUAGAUACCCUGGUAGUCCUAGCUGUAAACGGUGCACAUUUGCUGUGGGAGGAUUCGACCCCUUUCGUGGCGAAGCAAACGCGUUAAAUGUGCCGCCUGGGGAGUACGGUCGCAAGAUUAAAACUCAAAGGAAUUGACGG